UCCGUCUUCUACAUUAUUCGUCUAGUAUAAUACUAGAAUAAUACUAGACGAAUAAUGUAGAAGACGGAUUAUG
Paramuricea clavata is the source of this 73-nucleotide non-coding RNA. The record is from the annotation of a GenBank genome assembly. NCBI's taxonomy places the organism in Eukaryota, Metazoa, Cnidaria, Anthozoa, Malacalcyonacea, Plexauridae.